RNAcentral lists this ribosomal RNA (492 nucleotides) under uncultured bacterium. RNAcentral describes it as "partial 16S ribosomal RNA". It matches the Rfam family "Bacterial small subunit ribosomal RNA", at positions 29 to 507 of the family's 1533-position model. The record is from RNAcentral.
AGUGAACGCUGGCGGUAGGCCUAACACAUGCAAGUCGAACGGCAGCACAGUAAGAGCUUGCUCUUACGGGUGGCGAGUGGCGGACGGGUGAGGAAUACAUCGGAAUCUACUUUUUCGUGGGGGAUAACGUAGGGAAACUUACGCUAAUACCGCAUACGACCUACGGGUGAAAGCAGGGGAUCUUCGGACCUUGCGCGAUUGAAUGAGCCGAUGUCGGAUUAGCUAGUUGGCGGGGUAAAGGCCCACAAAGGCGACGAUCCGUAGCUGGUCUGAGAGGAUGAUCAGCCACACUGGAACUGAGACACGGUCCAGCCUCCUACGGGAGGAAGCAGUGGGGAAUAUUGGACAAUGGGCGAAGGCCUGAUCCAGCCAUACCGCGUGGGUGAAGAAGGCCUUCGGGUUGUAAAGCCCUUUUGUUGGGAAAGAAAAGCAGCAGGUUAAUACCCCGCUGUUCUGACGGUACCCAAAGAAUAAGCACCGGCUAACUUCGUG